CUUUUGUAGAAUGAACCGGCGAGUUACGAUCUGAUGCAAGGUUAAGCAGAAAAUGUGGAGCCGUAGCGAAAGCGAGUCUGAAUAGGGCGAAUGAGUAUUUGGUCGUAGACCCGAAACCAGGUGAUCUACCCUUGGUCAGGUUGAAGUUCAGGUAACACUGAAUGGAGGACCGAACCGACUUACGUUGAAAAGUGAGCGGAUGAACUGAGGGUAGCGGAGAAAUUCCAAUCGAACUUGGAGAUAGCUGGUUCUCUCCGAAAUAGCUUUAGGGCUAGCCUCAAGUGAUGAUUAUUGGAGGUAGAGCACUGUUUGGACGAGGGGCCCCUCUCGGGUUACCGAAUUCAGACAAACUCCGAAUGCCAAAUAAUUUAACUUGGGAGUCAGAAUGUGGGUGAUAAGGUCCAUAUUCGAAAGGGAAACAGCCCAGACCACCAGCUAAGGUCCCAAAAUAUAUGUUAAGUGGAAAAGGAUGUGGCGUUGCCCAGACAACUAGGAUGUUGGCUUAGAAGCAGCCAUCAUUUAAAGAGUGCGUAAUA
RNAcentral lists this ribosomal RNA (536 nucleotides) under Staphylococcus pseudintermedius. RNAcentral's name for it is "partial 23S ribosomal RNA". It matches the Rfam family "Bacterial large subunit ribosomal RNA", at positions 605 to 1139 of the family's 2925-position model. The record is from RNAcentral. Lineage: Bacteria; Bacillati; Bacillota; Bacilli; Caryophanales; Staphylococcaceae.